GAGGUCUUGGAAUAGUUUCGGUUUCUAUGAGCCAAGAAGUCAGCAGAAGUCAUAGUAGUCAUGGGUAACGAGCCGUAAGAGCUACGGAGGUCUCACAAAAUGAUGAAGGAC
Molecule: non-coding RNA, 111 nt
Organism: Marivirga tractuosa DSM 4126
Lineage: Bacteria; Pseudomonadati; Bacteroidota; Cytophagia; Cytophagales; Marivirgaceae
Source: Rfam